AAGGUGGAUGAGGACGACAUCGUCUCUCAUAUCUUGGCUGGACUCGAAGAAGACUUCGAUCCGGUGGUGUCCGCCAUGUGCUCACAGGUGGAGCCGGUCACCGUUGCCGAGCUGUUCUCGCAGCUGCUCAGCUUCGAGA
Molecule: non-coding RNA, 139 nt
Organism: Triticum urartu
Lineage: Eukaryota; Viridiplantae; Streptophyta; Magnoliopsida; Poales; Poaceae
Source: Rfam